GCCUGUAUAAUUUAUAGAGAAUAGUGUAUUGAAGCUGCAAGGGAGAUUGUUAUAUCUGUGGGCA
Molecule: transfer RNA, 64 nt
Filed under: Neilupotamon sinense
Lineage: Eukaryota; Metazoa; Arthropoda; Malacostraca; Decapoda; Potamidae
Description: tRNA-Phe
Source: RNAcentral